CAAUAGCGUAUAUUAAAGUUGUUGCAGUUAAAAAGCUCGUAGUUGGAUUUCUGGUAGGAGCGACCGUGCCGAACUUGAUUGUUCGAGUAUUGUGUUGUCUUCAGCCAUCCUCGUGGAGAACUUUUCUAACAUUAACUUGUUGGGAUUGGGACCCGCGUCGUUUACUGUGAAAAAAUUAGAGUGUUUAAAGCAGGCAUUAGCUUGAAUACAUUAGCACGAAAUAAUAAGAUAGGACUUUGGUACUAUUUUGUUGGUUUGCAUACCAAAUUAAUGAUCAACAGGAACAGUUUGGGGAUAUUCGUAUGAACAUGUCAGAGGUGAAAUUCUUGGAUUUUGAUCAGACGAACUACUGCGAAAGCAUCUAUCAAGGAUGUUUUCAUUAA
RNAcentral lists this ribosomal RNA (383 nucleotides) under uncultured eukaryote. RNAcentral's name for it is "partial 18S ribosomal RNA". It matches the Rfam family "Eukaryotic small subunit ribosomal RNA", at positions 592 to 976 of the family's 1831-position model. The record is from RNAcentral.